Trichuris trichiura (human whipworm) is the source of this 77-nucleotide non-coding RNA. Lineage: Eukaryota; Metazoa; Nematoda; Enoplea; Trichinellida; Trichuridae. The record is from Rfam.
GGUCGGAUAAGGCGCUCGCGCCGCAUCCGACACCAUGCUCAGAUGCCUGAUGCGACGCUGACGCGUCUUAUCAGGCC